UCUCUGGUAGCUCACCUGGUAAAGAAUCUGCCUGCAAUGCAGGAGACCCUGGUUCGAUUCCUGGGUUGGGAA
Molecule: transfer RNA, 72 nt
Filed under: Bos indicus (zebu cattle)
Lineage: Eukaryota; Metazoa; Chordata; Mammalia; Artiodactyla; Bovidae
Rfam family: tRNA
About the family: Transfer RNA (tRNA) molecules are approximately 80 nucleotides in length. Their secondary structure includes four short double-helical elements and three loops (D, anti-codon, and T loops).
Source: Rfam by way of RNAcentral